GCUCUGAUGGUGGAAUUUAGAAUACACGACUGGCUUAAGACCAGUUACCGGAAUGGUUUGCAGGUGCAAGUCCUGCUCAGAGUA
This 84-nucleotide transfer RNA is filed under the name Treponema bryantii. Its description in RNAcentral is "tRNA_Pseudo_TAA". It matches the Rfam family "tRNA". Rfam says of the family: Transfer RNA (tRNA) molecules are approximately 80 nucleotides in length. Their secondary structure includes four short double-helical elements and three loops (D, anti-codon, and T loops). Further hydrogen bonds mediate the characteristic L-shaped molecular structure. tRNAs have two regions of fundamental functional importance: the anti-codon, which is responsible for specific mRNA codon recognition, and the 3' end, to which the tRNAs corresponding amino acid is attached (by aminoacyl-tRNA synthetases). tRNAs cope with the degeneracy of the genetic code in two manners: having more than one tRNA (with a specific anti-codon) for a particular amino acid; and 'wobble' base-pairing, i.e. permitting non-standard base-pairing at the 3rd anti-codon position. Lineage: Bacteria; Pseudomonadati; Spirochaetota; Spirochaetia; Treponematales; Treponemataceae. The record is from RNAcentral.